This 520-nucleotide unclassified non-coding RNA is filed under the name uncultured Glomus. RNAcentral describes it as "SSU rRNA". It matches the Rfam family "Eukaryotic small subunit ribosomal RNA", at positions 569 to 1091 of the family's 1831-position model. The record is from RNAcentral. Lineage: Eukaryota; Fungi; Glomeromycota; Glomeromycetes; Glomerales; Glomeraceae.
AGCAGCCGCGGUAAUUCCAGCUCCAAUAGCGUAUAUUAAAGUUGUUGCAGUUAAAAAGCUCGUAGUUGAAUUUCGGGAUCAAUACGUCGGUCGUGCUUCGGUACGUACUGGCGUAAUUGAUUUCUCCCUUCUGACGAACCAUGAUGUCAUUAACUUGGUGUCAUGGGAAAUCAGGACUGUUACUUUGAAAAAAUUAGAGUGUUUAAAGCAGGCUCACGCUUGAAUACAUUAGCAUGGAAUAAUGAAAUAGGACGUUCGAUCCUAUUUUGUUGGUUUUUAGGAUCAACGUAAUGAUUAAUAGGGAUAGUUGGGGGCAUUAGUAUUCAAUUGUCAGAGGUGAAAUUCUUGGAUUUAUUGAAGACUAACUACUGCGAAAGCAUUUGCCAAGGAUGUUUUCAUUAAUCAAGAACAAAAGUUAGGGGAUCGAAGACGAUCAGAUACCGUCGUAGUCUUAACCAUAAACUAUGCCGACUAGGGAUCGGAUGAUGUUAAUUUUUUAAUGACUCAUUCGGCGCCUUAC